UAGGAUGAGACUAUAUUGUAUCAGCUAGUUGGUAAGGUAAUGGCUUACCAAGGCUAUGACGCAUAACUGGUCUGAGAGGAUGAUCAGUCACACUGGAACUGAGACACGGUCCAGACUCCUACGGGAGGCAGCAGUAGGGAAUAUUGCUCAAUGGGCGAAAGCCUGAAGCAGCAACGCCGCGUGGAGGAUGACACUUUUCGGAGCGUAAACUCCUUUUCUUAGGGAAGAACAAUGACGGUACCUAAGGAAUAAGCACCGGCUAACUCCGUGCCAGCAGCCGCGGUAAUACGGAGGGUGCAAGCGUUACUCGGAAUCACUGGGCGUAAAGGACGCGUAGGCGGAUUAUCAAGUCUUUUGUGAAAUCUAAUGGCUUAACCAUUAAACUGCUUGAGAAACUGAUAAUCUAGAGUGAGGGAGAGGCAGAUGGAACUGGUGGUGUAGGGGUAAAAUCCGUAGAGAUCACCAAGAAUACCCAUUGCGAAGGCGAUCUGCUAGAACUCAACUGACGCUAAUGCGUGAAAGCGUGGGGAGCAAACAGGAUUAGAUACCCUGGUAGUCCACGCCCUAAACGAUGCAUACUCGUUGUUGCUCUGCUAGUCAGGGCAGUAAUUCAGCUAACGCAUUAAGUAUGCCGCCUGGGGAGUACGGUCGCAAGAUUAAAACUCAAAGGAAUAGACGGGGACCCGCACAAGCGGUGGAGCAUGUGGUUUAAUUCGAAGAUACGCGAAGAACCUUACCUGGGCUUGAUAUCCUAAGAACCUCUUAGAGAUAAGAGGGUGCUAGCUUGCUAGAACUUAGAGACAGGUGCUGCACGGCUGUCGUCAGCUCGUGUCGUGAGAUGUUCGGUUAAGUCCGGCAACGAGCGCAACCCACGUAUUUAGUUGCUAACAGUUUGGCUGAGCACUCUAAAUAUACUGCCUUCGUAAGGAGGAGGAAGGUGUGGACGACGUCAAGUCAUCAUGGCCCUUAUGCCCAGGGCGACACACGUGCUACAAUGGCAUAUACAAUGAGACGCAAUACCGCGAGGUGGAGCAAAUCUAUAAAAUAUGUCCCAGUUCGGAUUGUUCUCUGCAACUCGAGAGCAUGAAGCCGGAAUCGCUAGUAAUCGUAGAUCAGCCAUGCUACGGUGAAUACGUUCCCGGGUCUUGUACUCACCGCCCGUCACACCAUGGGAGUUGAUUUCACUCGAAGCCCAAAUACCAAACUGGUUAUGGUCCACAGUGGAAUCAGCGACUGGGGUGAAGUCGUAACAAGGUAACCGUAGGAGAACCUGCGGUUGGAUCACCUCCUUUCUA
RNAcentral lists this ribosomal RNA (1295 nucleotides) under Campylobacter hyointestinalis subsp. lawsonii. RNAcentral's name for it is "bacterial SSU rRNA". It matches the Rfam family "Bacterial small subunit ribosomal RNA", at positions 221 to 1533 of the family's 1533-position model. The record is from RNAcentral. Lineage: Bacteria; Pseudomonadati; Campylobacterota; Epsilonproteobacteria; Campylobacterales; Campylobacteraceae.